Molecule: ribosomal RNA, 404 nt
Filed under: Verrucomicrobiota bacterium
Lineage: Bacteria; Pseudomonadati; Verrucomicrobiota
Description: Verrucomicrobia bacterium partial 16S ribosomal RNA
Rfam family: Bacterial small subunit ribosomal RNA
Source: RNAcentral
UGGGGAAUAUUGCACAAUGGGGGAAACCCUGAUGCAGCGACGCCGCGUGAGCGAUGAAGGCUUUCGAGUCGUAAAGCUCUGUCCUAUGGGAAGAUAAUGACGGUACCAUAGAAGAAAGCCCCGGCUAAUUACGUGCCAGCAGCCGCGGUAAUACGUAAGGGGCGAGCGUUGUCCGGAAUUAUUGGGCGUAAAGAGUGCGUAGGCGGCAAAUUAAGUCAGAUGUGAAAACUAAGGGCUCAACCCAUAGAUUGCAUCUGAAACUGAUAUGCUGGAGUCAAGGAGAGGAAAGUGGAAUUCCUAGUGUAGCGGUGGAAUGCGUAGAUAUUAGGAGGAAUACCGGUGGCGAAGGCGACUUUCUGGACUUGAACUGACGCUGAGGCACGAAAGCGUGGGGAGCAAACAGG